RNAcentral lists this unclassified non-coding RNA (287 nucleotides) under uncultured fungus. RNAcentral describes it as "partial contains small subunit ribosomal RNA, internal transcribed spacer 1, and 5.8S ribosomal RNA". The stretch from base 1 to 73 matches the Rfam family "Eukaryotic small subunit ribosomal RNA", at positions 1759 to 1831 of the family's 1831-position model. Lineage: Eukaryota; Fungi. The record is from RNAcentral.
CCAAACUUGGUCAUUUAGAGGAAGUAAAAGUCGUAACAAGGUUUCCGUAGGUGAACCUGCGGAAGGAUCAUUAAAAAGUCUGCCGUCGAGGGACGGCCUUCUUUCAAACCGUGUGAAAACACCCGUUGCUUCGGCCGCCUCUCUCCCGCGAGGGGGAGUGUCAGUCUGUCGGCAGCACCCAUACCAAACCUUUUUUUCUGUAACUGUCUGUCAGUCAACGCAUUAUAAAAUACGUUAAAACUUUCAACAACGGAUCUCUUGGUUCUCGCAUCGAUGAAGAACGCAGC